Anguilla anguilla (European eel) is the source of this 701-nucleotide long non-coding RNA. RefSeq lists it as uncharacterized. Lineage: Eukaryota; Metazoa; Chordata; Actinopteri; Anguilliformes; Anguillidae. The record is from RefSeq and is a predicted model, not a curated record. The transcript has 2 exons.
UAUUGUGACAACAUCAUGGAAAAGGUGUAUUGUGCUAGCUUUGCAUUGGUCAAACUGUCUUGUUUUGACAUUUCUUUGCUCAACAGAGUUGGCCUUGUUGAAUUGUUUUUACUAACCGUUCCACAGCUGCUCAUGAUAUUAUUUUCAUAUGCACAAAUACUCAGAAUCUGCCUGACUGCUUCUAAGGAAUCUCAGGCCAAAGCUAUUCAAACAUGCACCCCACACUUACUGGCUGUGAUUAACUAUACAGUAGGAUGCUUUUUUGAAAUUAUUUCAACUCGUUUCAACAUGAGUCAUGUACCACAUAAAGCUCGUAUAUUCCUGGCCCUUUACUUUCUGAUAUUUCCCCCAGUGCUUAAUUCUGUAAUUUAUGGAAUUAGCAUUCAAGCCAUCAGAGUUCAGGUUUUCAAACUGUUCAUUACUUGUAAAAAUAAGUUAUUUACACUGUAGGAGACAAGGAGGUAGUCUACUGUUUGUUCAAUGCAUUUACACAUUUUUAAGCCAAUUACCUACAUGACAUGACAUGUAAUACCAUUGGUGAUAGGCUCAAUUAAAGGUCAUGACACUGGUUGCUUUUGCUGCAGGACAGGAAAGCUGUUAUUAUUUCUACCUCUAGAAUUCAAGCCCUUUUCCCAAUUACAUUUUAGUAUUCACGAAAUACACUCAUUCAGAGUGACAUACACCAAUUACAUGAAAAGAGG